UAUGAAGGGGGGCUAGGCGUUGCUCGGAAUUACUGGGCGUAAAGGGCGCGUAGGCGGCACUGUUAGUCAGGCGUGAAAUUCCUGGGCUCAACCUGGGGACUGCGCUUGAUACGGCAGAGCUAGAGGAUGGAAGAGGCUCGCGGAAUUCCCAGUGUAGAGGUGAAAUUCGUAGAUAUCGGAAGGAACACCAGUGGCGAAAGCGGCUUCCUGGUCCAGCACCGACGUUCAGGCACGAAAGCGUGGGGAGCAAACAGG
RNAcentral lists this ribosomal RNA (255 nucleotides) under uncultured bacterium. RNAcentral's name for it is "partial 16S ribosomal RNA". It matches the Rfam family "Bacterial small subunit ribosomal RNA", at positions 522 to 776 of the family's 1533-position model. The record is from RNAcentral.